GUAGCUGUAGUAUAUAUAAUUGGUAAUGCGUCCGUGUACAGAAUGGAAAUUGUGGGUUCAAGUCCCGCCGGCUACA
This is a non-coding RNA of Aedes aegypti (yellow fever mosquito), 76 nucleotides long. Lineage: Eukaryota; Metazoa; Arthropoda; Insecta; Diptera; Culicidae. The record is from Rfam.